GAUGAACGCUGGCGGCGUGCCUAAUACAUGCAAGUCGAGCGCAGCGGGGACGGGUGAGUAACCCGUAGAUACCCUCCUAUAACACUCCGAUAACUUGGGGAAACCGUAGCUAAACCGGCUACUUAUAUAUCGCUCCGCGCUGAAUUAGCUAGUUGGUAAGGUAACGGCUUACCAAGGCCACGAUGCAGAGCCGACCUGAGAGGGUGAUCGGCCACACUGGAACUGAGACACGGUCCAGACUCCUACGGGAGGCAGCAGUAGGGAAUCUUCCGCAAUGGGCGAAAGCCUGACGGAGCAACGCCGCGUGAGUGAUGAAGGUCUUCGGAUCGUAAAACUCUGUUAUUAGGGAAGCGGUACCUAACCAGAAAGCCACGGCUAACUACGUGCCAGCAGCCGCGGUAAUUC
This 405-nucleotide ribosomal RNA is filed under the name uncultured bacterium. RNAcentral's name for it is "partial 16S ribosomal RNA". It matches the Rfam family "Bacterial small subunit ribosomal RNA", at positions 28 to 526 of the family's 1533-position model. The record is from RNAcentral.